Long non-coding RNA from Mirounga angustirostris (Northern elephant seal), 8696 nucleotides. RefSeq lists it as uncharacterized. The transcript is spliced from 5 exons. The record is from RefSeq and is a predicted model, not a curated record. Lineage: Eukaryota; Metazoa; Chordata; Mammalia; Carnivora; Phocidae.
GACUGAGGGGAUCAAAAAGGCAAAAUCAAAAUGCUGAGAUCUCAUUUAUUUUCACCAUCAGGGAACUUUUUGAUUAGCCUCCGUUUUUCUUCCCAGAUUUCAAAAAAUAAAAAUCCUUAAGUUCUGAGGAGGGACUCUGCAGCAGGAAGAGGAGUAAGAUCACAGGAUGAGAAGAAAAAAGGCUGCACAUGUUCUCUCCCCACGUCCUCCGCCCCCCUCCCCCCUUCCUCUCCCCCCCCCCCCCCCCCCCCGCGCUGCCCAUCACAGCCCCAACACGCACACACAUAGGGCGGGCUUGUACUAGCAGGUGACGCCUCCACCUCCCAUUCCUCAUCCCUCGCCAGAUACAGGUCUUCAGUGACCUUAGAAAUUUUCGUUUGAUCGGGAGUGUCGUUUUUCAGAGGAAAACCCGCCCCCGCCCCGCUGCCCUCGUCCACGCCGGGAGAGCGCUUCCCCCUGCGCUCGGACAGAACCGCCUCUCUGUGCCGCCCAGCACGUCCCAUGCGAGGGCGCCCGGGCCGGGCGGGACACGCCCUCCCGCGCGGGGAGCAGCUUUCCCAGGGGUCUUGGGAGAGGCUCUGGCCUUUCCUAACGAGGGCCGGGAGCCUCCCCUGUGGGCUCGUUCCUGGCAGGCGCUCCCCCUCCCGGCGGGGAACCCCGAUUUCCCCACCGCGGAGGGGAGGCACUCGCUUCUGCUCCCGGCACAGCCGCUCCGGCGGCCGGGGCCGGCGCAUGCGUGGAGAGGGCCGCGUCCGCUCUGGGCUCCCCGGCUCCCGGGCUCCCGCGGCCGGCGGGCGGCGCAUGCGUCAGCGGUGGGGCCGGGGGCAAGCCCGCGGAGGAUGGAGCUGCGUGGGUCAGGCUCUCCUCCCGUUGCCUGGCUUCACGUCGGGGACGCUGCACCGUUGGAAGAGAGCCACAGAAAGCUAAAGGCACAGGCUCCUUACAGGGCAUCUGCUUCAUGCCUCCAUUUUACAGAUGAGGAAAUGGAUCCAAAGAAGGGGUGGGAAGUGACCAAAGCUGCAUUUCUGAAUUCUGGCACCUGCGACCAGAUCCAGCUCUUGUUGGCAUGGUUUAGGUACUCCUUCAGUGAGCAUUUAUCAAGCUCCUGGAUGCGGUGUACUAAACGCAGGGUAGGUGCAAGAAAGAGCAAUCGAUUUAAGUGAAGAAGAAGGAACGGUGUUUAAGUACCUAAGGUGUCAGAUUGAAGGAGUCUAGGAUCAGAGAUCAUCAGAGUUGAAGAUCAUCUGGGACAACGCCCUCAUGUUAAUGAAGGAGCCUUGAAAAACUGUAAAAGGACCAGAACAACUUGUCAUGUUGCCACUUUGAUCAUGGGAUUUGGAUCAAAAAGAACAUGGGAUUUGGACUUUGCUCUGGGGCUUGGCCCUGGUCUCUGCCACCUGUCAGCUGUAUGACCUUGGGUAAGUGACUUGAUGCUCUGAGCCUUCGUUUCUUCAUCUGGGUAGUGGAAGGGUACAAGCUGGAGCCUGUGCUAAGAUUCAGUCAUGUCUGGCGAGCCAGUGGGAAACCCCACAGGAUCACGCAAUCUGCCUUUCUUGAAGAGCUGCAAGGAGCCAAGUCCAGUGAGCUCACCAAGUGGAGAAGUGUCCAUGUCGGAGAAAGGAGUAGUUUUGAGAACCCAUGGUAACAAUGGCUGAAUCUCUCCCCGGCCCUCCCCAUGCUGGAUCCAUGGGAUUCCUGGACAGAGCUGUCACUAAAAGCUAACGGGAUUACUUACUACAUACUCUAUAAGACACUGAGAUACAGGGUCACUGUGAUGAGCACCCCCAUAAAGGAGCAUAACAGGAGAGAGAAUCAUUUCCAUGGGCAGCUUUGCCAGAGAAGGACGGCAGAGCAGGGAAGGGGCCGUGCCUGGCACCUGGGCAUGGAUUUGUUGAUUGGGAGAUGGAGUUUCAAAGAAGUCAAGUAAUGUCUCCAUAAUAAUCUAGCCAAUAAGGGGUGCGACUGGACUCUCUUUCUUUGGAGACCAACAAAUGAAAGAAUGAGGGGGAAACCCAGCAAACACUGAAACCUGAAGUUCUCAUUGGAAGAGCUGGAGAGAAAGACAGGUCUUUGUGGCUGGACAUCCGGAAGAGCUCCAACUCUGAUGAAGGAGUAAGAAAUAUGCCUCCCCCUUGACAGGAAGAAUGUGUGAAAUGAAGGACCUCAGGUGCUACGCUGGUUUUUGACAGUCCCUCAGAAGAAAGCACUUCCUGCCUGUUCUAUUCAAUCCCAGUCCAGGUGAGUCACUACAUUUUCAGUCAGGCGAGUAUUUUAAGGCAUGAGAAAUGUAAGCUGGAACCAGCAGAGAAAGCUGAGGGAUGGAUCAUCACCAUUAGCUUUGAUGAUGACUUGUUGUCAUGGUGCCAGGAAGAUCAUUUCCACUGAGAGUCCCACUCCCCGCUGUUUUGCUGGCCUGUUUGACGUGGGAGACUGGUGGCCUCCCUGAUGCAGGCGUGGGGCAUGGCCACGGGCAUGGGCACAUAUGUGCACCUAGAGCGGACACCCCCCCAGCAGGCUCACGUUGGCUACCUGGGUCACGGUUAAAAGGCUGUGCUCUAGAUGAGCUGGUGGGGAGCCAGCAGGACCCCUCCCCCACCUCCUGUGACGUUUUGCGCCUGACGUUUUGGAGCAGAUUCCGCAAGGGCCUGAACCACCUCCACCUCUGCCCUCUGGUUCAGCAUUUGGCUCUGCAGAAUGCCACCCCCGGCAGCCUCUUCUGCUGGUAUCUACACUGCAAAGCUCUGUGCUAUCUCUUCUGAAUGGGACCAAGUGACUAGCUUUGAGCAGAAAUGCAGGUUGUGUCGUAGCCCUGUGGGGUGAACCACACGGUAGGAGCCAUCAGGAUGAGCUGUGCUCCUUGCUCAGACUUCCCACUGGGCUGCUUCCCUGUCUCCUGCCCUUACCUGGUCUCGAGAGACUGCAGUGACGAUGGGGUGGGGAUGGGGAAUAACCUUGCUCUAUAGUUUCUCCUGAAUCCCCUUAAUUAAGCUUUCACAUGGAUGCAAGAAACAAGCAAGCUCCAUCCCCGGGCCCAGUGGUCAUCUCCCCCCAGAUUCUGACUCAGAGGCGUGGGGCAGGCUUAUUUUUAUUAAGGGCCCAAGUAAUUGGAUUGCAGGUGGUCCCAGACCACACUUUGAGAAACACUGGGGCAGAAAUAAGUCAGCAAGUGUAUGAGAUACAUCUGGUGUGAGUGGUAAUUCAUCUAGUUUCUUAAGAUAGUAUUAUGGGCUAAAUUGUGACUCCCCACCCCCCGAAUUUGUACAUUGAAGUCCUGCCUCCCAGUACCUCAGAAUGUGACUGCAUUUGGAGAUAGGGCCUUUCAAGAGGUAAUUAAAUGAAAAAUAAGGUCACUGGGAUGGACCCUGAUCCAAUAUGAGUGGUGUCCUUACAAGGAGAGAUUAGGACACAGACACCCACAGAGGUAAGAGCAUGCGAGAACACAGUAAGAAGACAGCCAUAUGCAAACCAAGGAGAGAGGCCUCAGAAUUUGGGAGCUUGGGAAAGAUAAUACACUGCGUGUAUUCCAGCUACAUAAUAUCCUACAGCAUCUGCAACAGUAUCCUGCAAUCAAACACGCUAAUAUUUCUGUAGGGAAAUGUAUAUGUUGUAUAAAUAAAGACCAUAAGUAACCUAAUAUCGACUCAAGACAGGUUUUGGGGCCAAGUGAAUUUAUUUCAGGUCAAGUUUUGUUGUCAAACGAGUUAUAAAUCCAAUUUUUGGUAUUUGGAGCUUAGAGGGUUUUGAAAUUGUGGACCCAUAUUGUCCCUGUCCUACAGAUGAAGAAACUGAGGCACAGGGAGAUAAAACAACUUUCCACAUUCAUUAACUCAUGGGAGGUGGGGUUGGGCUCCCACCCACAUCUGCCUGGCUGUGCCCCUCAGUACUGCCCACCUCUCAGGGCAUGCCAUGUCUGCAGAAUAGUCACCAGGCUGGCAGCCUCGCUGUGAGGACAAGAUACAGUGUAGGUUGAGUUCUGUGAUGGGUGGAAUUGUGUUUCCUCCCCAAAGUCAUAUGUUGAGAUCCUAACUCUACUACCUCAGAAUUUAACCUUAUGUGGAAAUAGGGUCAUUGCAGAUAUAAUUAGUUAAAUUAAGAUGAAGCCAUUAAGGUGAGCCCUAAUUCAAUAUGACUGGUGUCCUUAUUAAAAAAAGAAAUUUGGACACAGAGGGGUACUCAGGGAGAAUGUCAUGUAAAUACAUAAUGCAGAGAUCAGGGAGAUGUUUCUCCAAGCCAAGGCGUGCCCAGGAUGGCCAGCAACAUGCCAGAAGCUAGGAGAGAAGGGUGGGACGUUCAUCUCACUGAGCCUUCAGAAGGAAGUUACACUGCCGAUACCUUGCUCUCAAACUUCUGGCCUCCAGAACGUGAGGCAGAUUGGUGUUCAGGGCCCCCAGUGUGUGGAACUUUGUCACAACCACCCUAGCAAACGAAUAUACAUUCUUCACACAGGUCCCAGAUUUCAAGUGGGAGACCAUUAAAGGGUAGCUAACCUAGUUACUACCUUUAUUAUGGAGGCUGCAGGAGAUAAAGCCCGUGAGUGAGAUGAGUUCUAAGGCCUCCUCCAAGUUUUGGGUCUAAUUUUCUAUGUUGACACCAUGAGGAUAGCCCAGCUCCCCUUGCCACUUGCCCCAAUGGUCCGGUUCUUACGGCAUUUCUUUGCUUUUUUAAAGGAUGGGCUCAUGUAAAGGUGGUCUUAAAAGCAAAACAAAACAAAGCAAAGAAUGUCUUUUACGCCAAUGUGGGUUACGUCUGUGUAUGUUAAAAAUGAAACCACGUGGGCCCUAAUUUCCCUUUGGAUGUUCCUACUUGCAUCAUGAACUCAGUCAGACGUGGGUUUUCUGAAUCCCUUACACUUGUGCCUUCAGAUCUGCCAAGUUUAACCCACAGUAUGUGUUUGGGCUACAAAUUCUGCAGGGGAAAGCAGAAAGCUAAGUUAGAGGUGGUUUUCUGUGAGUUAAGAGUGUAUCGCUGAAACCCUAUGUUGGCCUAGAAAUGUGUGUUCUUUGUGUGGCAAUGUGUCCCCUCAUUGCCAUUUUACUGAACAGAUAAAAGCUUCUUUAAGAAAGUAUAAAAGACUGAUGAAUGCUUUUUCCAUUCGUAGAACAAGGUGUGGUUGGCCCAGUGUAGAGAAGAAGGUAAAAAUGCUAAACUGUUUUCUUCAGGCUUUAGUGAUGGGAUCCCCCAUUGUUGAGCUGGUUUGGACCUUUAGACGGCUGCCUUGAAGAUGUCUUUUCAUCUUCAUGUCAUGUCAAUUUCAGGAAAUGAUCUGCUGUAGGUGGAGUGUGGCCCCCAACUCCCCAUCCGUGGAAAUAGGACCUUAAUGGCGUGAGCGUUCAAAGAAUGAGCUUCAGGUUUUCUUCUGACAUCCAUUUGCAGUUGUUUUGCAACUCCCUGUCAGCCCUCAGCCUCUGUCCAGCAGGCUGCUUCCAACGGCUUUCCUCAGCAAGCCGAGGGGCCUCCCUUGUCUCCCUCAGCCCUGACGCAGAGCCAGAGGUGUGUGAGCAUUGGCUUAAGGCUUUCCAUCUUUGCUCCUUGUUCCUGGUUCUCCUUCCACCAACUUUAGGAGAAGUAGGCCUUUUCCUAUCACAGAUGCAGCCCCAGUGGAAUUCUGUUAGGAUAUCAGUAUGGUUGCAGGGUGGGAGGUGACACUUCGGGGAUUUCAUGGUUGGCGACUCUAUCCAGUGUUAUCGGGAGAGAUUUAAUUAAGCCAGAGUAACUGCCUAAUAGAUAGAUGCUCCGGAAUAGAGACCACAUCUUGUUCAUUUGUGAAUCCUUAGGGCCUAGCUCCGAGCUUGGCACAUGGUAGGUGUUCAAUAAAAUUAUUUGUUGAAUGAAUGAAUCUUGAUUUUCUUUCUUUAUCAGAUAGGUGUCUGACACGUGUUAAGUCCAACAAUCAUGGCCACAAACAAGGUUAGAGAAUGCUUCUGUUACAUCAUAAUAGCUCUCAUGGGUCAUGUCCAACGAAAAGGUCCUGAGGCCAAGGGGCAGAGGACAGAGGCCUAGGUCUGGCUCCACCACUGUCCUUGAGACCCUAGGAUCUCAGCCUCCCUGUGCCUCAGUAUCCUCCACUGAGACACAGACAUUGUAAUAUCUGCUCUGCCUGCCUCACUGGAUGAUUAUGAGAACAUGACAAAAGAAUGGAUAUGAAAGUUUUCUGAAAAUUUCAAAGACCAUGCCAAGGAUAUUAUUUUUAUUAUCAUUUCUUUUAUUACAGAUAUUUGUACAGUUGUGUUGCUCAUAAUUAUUUUUGAUUUCUUCAGCUUCCUUUCUACAUGCUCGUGUUCAAGGAUCAAAGUCCGGAUUACCUCCUACCCCAGAUAAAGGGAUACCCAUCUUGGUAGUCCAGGCACUGCCAAGAGCCAGCUUGCUUGGAGCUCAAUUGUCUGCUUGGCCAGCAAACAUUCCUGCAUCACAGAUGGCAGGUGGCAAGUUAAGUCACUGAAGACUAGUUGACAUAGAGUUGCCCCCUGAUGCCAUUCCCGUGCCCGAAGCCACAGGAAACAGAAAUAGUAGGGACUUCUCCCCAAGGGACUGUGCUCCUUGACCUUACCACUAGCCCAUCAGAGAGCCCUCAGUCCCCAUUCUGUCUAGAAUAGGCCAGUGGGGAGGUGACUUGUGGGAAGCAGCCAGCCAGUGGCCCGCAGAGCCCAGGUGGGAAGCCUAGCCUCCAGACUUCAUUCCCCCUGCCUCUCGAUGGAUGGAUCGAGGCCCUAGUAGAAAGUGCUGUACCUCCUCUUGUUUCCUGUUGCUAAGGCAACUGGGUGAACAUAAAACAGAAACAGCCCACGUGGUCUUGCUGCCUCUACCCACACGGUCAUCUCAUCCAGAAAGCCACAGUCAGGCGGAUAGAUUUGGGCCAAGCAUGUGUUUGGGGGUGAGGAACCCCCGGAGGAGAAACACCGGAGCUGUGUGGCAGUCGAUAUUCUCUGAACACUCUUCCCGGGUAGACAAGAUGUUGAAGCCAGGAAGUGGUGGGGUGUAGAGAGUGAGGAGUUGAAAUGGCUGGAGUGUGCCAGUUGGCAGAAUGUGACAAGGGUUGAAAUUGUCCUAGGCCUGGGUUCUAGCUGCCUGUCCUUAGUUACAGAAUGAGAGAGCAGGGGGCAUGACCACUAACCCUCAUCUCUGAAAUCUGUGCCUCUAGCUUUCCUGCUUUCCCCCAAGAGAGGCCCUUCUGAGCUUUUAGACAAGGGUCUUUCUUAAGGAGCAAUGCAAUACUGUAGGGAUAAGGGCAAGGCCAUCUGAGAACCAGGCAGCUCUCAGCACGGGGCCACAGAGCUGGGGGACAGUCACAUGAGAGGAGUGCAGGGCAGACCAUCCCACAGAUAUCCACCCAAGGCCUCCCUCCAACUUCAAGUUUCAACUCAAUGAUGACCUUCUCCAAAAGCCUCUCAACUCCACCCAGACAGGCAAUAACACUGUCAUCCUCUCUAUUCUCCCAUAUUUUCAUCUGCAUCUCCCUGUGCACUCAGCACCUGUUUUGACCACGUACUCACCCUUUGAAUGACUUUUAUUGCACACAUACUAAUAUAUGCUCAGUGAAGGAAAAGUCAGAAAUGCAGAUGCCCACAAAGAAGAAAAUAAAAACCACUCUUAAACCUGCCACCUGGAGAUCAUCACUGCUGAUGUUUGGGGUGUUAGCACUAUUUAGGCUCAUGUCUUUUUUUUCUGCCUACAUUCAGCUCAUCAAAAGCCAAGUCCACACCUGGCCCCCUCUGUAGGCUCUCAGCUGCCGUGAUGCUUCCCAUUCAACAGUGGGUGAAUAAACAAAUGGAGGAGUGGACAGAAGGACAGAGAAAAGGUUCUCCUACCCAACAAAAGACCUAAAAAGGGAAGAGAAGGUCACAUGCAGCCCCCUCCCCUCCCCUCCACUCCCAUCAGAGCGGAAUCAAUGCCAGGAAGUGAGCGGUGCACAGAGAAUGGGCCGGACCUGCACAAUGAUCAUUAGUGGAAAGACAGAGAUCUCUGCUGUAUGACUUGGAAAUGUCGGCCGUGGCUUAAGGGAAAAGAGGAUUCAUGGAAAUCGCCAAGUCAAGGUCGCCACAUGUGUGCAGUAUUUUAGGCUCAGCAAGCAAUCUGGCAAAUUCAAAGCCUCUCGUAAAUGACUUCCAAGAAAUCUGCUUUUAGCCCCGCCAUUGACAGGGGAGCACAUCCCUAUGACUUGCCCCUCACUGGAUUGAAGAUGAUCAUUGAUUUAUCUGGAGCAGAAACAGCAGGAUUCCACAUCACCGCUUAGAAGGCAGCCGGGGCCAAAGCAGAGAAUUAACAAAUCUUUAUUAUUAAUUCCAAUACCACCACACCCCAUGGGUCCUGCAGCAAAUCACGGGCUCUCUUAAUAAGAGUUUCUCUGUGUUUAAGUGGAGCUAAUUUUUUUUUUUUUUUAUGGAGCAUGUCCUCAUUCUUAACUAUGAGGACAACCUCAAAAUAUUCAUUAAUCAUGCACAAGCCCAGAACAUGCUAGGUGCUGCAGGAGAUGCAAAAUAAGUAGAACAAUCCCUAUAUUUCCAUUCAUUCAAGCAUCAAACAUUGAUUGAGACCCUUUGAUGCGCCAAACACUAUGCACAGCACUGGGUUUUAUAGCACAUUGCAGUCAUUAUCCUGCUUUAAAAGUGAAGAGAUGAGCCUCAGGGAGCUUAUAGAACUUCCCCAAGUUGCCCACAGCCACACGGUCUGUAAGAGACUUGGGACUAGAAUAAAGGGAA